AGGGUUUGAUCCUGGCUCAGGACGAACGCUGGCGGCGUGCCUAAUACAUGCAAGUCGAACGAGAUCCCGGAGCCUGCUCCGGGGGACAGUGGCGAACGGGUGAGUAACACGUGAGAAACCUGCCCUAGAGACCGGGACAACCGUUGGAAACGGCGGCUAAUACCGGAUGCCUUCACAUGGUCGCAUGGCCGAGUGAAGAAAUGCUCAGGUGCUCUAGGAGGGUCUCGCGGCCUAUCAGCUAGUUGGUGAGGUAACGGCUCACCAAGGCAUCGACGGGUAGCUGGUCUGAGAGGACGAUCAGCCACACUGGGACUGAGACACGGCCCAGACUCCUACGGGAGGCAGCAGUAGGGAAUCUUGCGCAAUGGGGGCAACCCUGACGCAGCAACGCCGCGUGUGGGGCGACGGCUUUCGGGUUGUAAACCACUUUCAGUGAUGACGAAAAUGACGGUAAUCACAGAAGAAGGUCCGGCCAACUACGUGCCAGCAGCCGCGGUAAUA
RNAcentral lists this ribosomal RNA (501 nucleotides) under uncultured bacterium. RNAcentral describes it as "bacterial SSU rRNA". It matches the Rfam family "Bacterial small subunit ribosomal RNA", at positions 8 to 525 of the family's 1533-position model. The record is from RNAcentral.